RNAcentral lists this ribosomal RNA (479 nucleotides) under uncultured bacterium. RNAcentral's name for it is "bacterial SSU rRNA". It matches the Rfam family "Bacterial small subunit ribosomal RNA", at positions 28 to 518 of the family's 1533-position model. The record is from RNAcentral.
GACGAACGCUGGCGGCGUGCUUAACACAUGCAAGUGGAGCGACGAACCGGGGCUUGCCCCGGGGCAGAGCCGCGAACGGGUGAGUAACACGUGGGUAACCCACCCCGAUGAUUGGGACAACCCGGGGAAACUCGGGCUAAUACCAAAUGUGCUCGAAGACCAUGAGGUCUCCGAGUAAAGAUAGCUUCGGCCUUCGCAUCGGGACGGGCCCGCGGCCCAUUAGCUUGUUGGUGAGGUAACGGCUCACCAAGGCGACGAUGGGUAGCUGGUCUGAGAGGACGAUCAGCCACACUGGGACUGAGACACGGCCCAGACUCCUACGGGAGGCAGCAGUGGGGAAUCUUGCGCAAUGCGCGAAAGCGUGACGCAGCAACGCCGCGUGGAGGAAGACGGUCUUCGGAUUGUAAACUCCUUUUCGGGGGGACGAAACGGACAGUACCCCCGGAAUAAGCCCCGGCUAACUCUGUGCCAGCAGCCGC